AUAUUGAAUAUUAUCCUAUUGAAAUAUGGUCACCAAAGGAAAUUUCAAUAUUAAUUACUGAUUCCAAAGGAUAUAAAGUACCAUUUGAAUCUUCAACAGUUCCAAUAUUUAUUACUCUACACUUCAGAAAACGAAUCGAAAUGCUAUAAAUAAAACUGUACAAAUCUAAAUUAGUUCAGAGUAGAAAUAGUCAUCAUGACGAGAUCUUAUCAACAAUAUUAUUUAAAUCAAUGUGGUGGUGGGUUAAAUCAUAUAGGAAGUCUAUAUGUGACACCCAGAGUUAUCCAACAAGGUAGAGGAAUUGGAAAUUUUUUUAGUGGGCUUUUUAAUUAUAUAAAACCACUCUUCCUUUCGGGGAUAAACGCUAUUAAAAAUCAAGCCUCUGAAACUGGAAAGGCUGUAAUAAAUGAGUUUGGUCGAAAACCUUUAAGAAACAUUAUCCAAGAACAAAGCAAAAUUGCAUUGCAAAAUCUGUCAAAUAAAGCAAUAAAUAAAUUUACACGAUUCCAAAAUGGUGAAGGUAAAAAGAAUAAAAAGAGAAGGUCUAGGAAAAAACGAGCUCAUUUAUCAUCUAAACAAGGACGCAAACAUACGCAGUCGAGACCAAUAAAGAAAAAAUCCUCCAAGAAAUUAAAUAUAAAAGAUAUUUUUUCGAAAUCAAAAUGACCACCCAUAUAGAAUGUAUGAAAAGCGAAUUGGAUCUGUUUGAACCACAUCCCACACAAAGCUCUAUUCUGAGAACUGAAGAAGUUUCAUACAAUCCCAUAGCUUCAUUGGACAGCGCCUCUUCAAUUGAAUUCGUUUGCUUAGGAAAUGGUGAAACAUAUCGAGAUCUGUCAAGUGUUUACUUAAGACUUGUUGUACAACUAAGAAAAAAUGAUAAUGGAAGCAUUGAAGGAGACAAUGUUGGAGUAGUGAAUAAUAUUUUACAUUCAAUGUUCAGAAAUCGUAUUUGCAAACGAUUUUAAACUAUGGUAGUGACGCCACUGAAAGUCACUUAACCACUCAAGGCUAUUAUCCUAACUAUGGUAAAUUAUUAUCUGGUAGAUAUGUUAAUACCGAUGGAUCCGUUUUGCUUAAAAAAAUUUUUCAAAACAGUAAUAAGGUUGAACUUUUUGGAAAAGUUAAUGGAGAUAUAUUUAAUCAACCAAAACUGCUUAUAAAUAAUGUUGAUUUAAGAAUAACUUUUAACAUUGAAAAAACAGCAUUUUAUUUAAUGGAAUCUGAAACUGAAUCAAAUCUAAAGAUAUUGGAAGCACAACUCUUCAUGAACCACAUAACUAUUAAUCCAAGCAUUUUAUUGGCUCAUCAUCAUGUUUUACAAACUAAAAAUGCUAUUUAUCCAUAUAGCAAAGCCCAAGUAAAAUCAUUUACAAUAUACCCAGGAAAUAAUACAUUAUCAAUUGACAAUGCAGUUAUUGGACAGAUUCCUAAUUUUUUGGCUUUUUGCAUGGUAAAAAACAAAUCAUAUUCUGGCAAUCGAACUUUGAAUCCUUUCAAUUUUGAACAUUUUAAAAUUCAACGCUUUAAUCUAUUGGUUAAUGGUGUGCAAGUACCAUCGCAGGCUCUUGAGUUUGAUUUCUCGAACUCUGAAAAUGCACAAAGCUCUAGAGGUUAUAAUAUGCUAUUCAGAGCAAGUGGAAUAAGACAUUAUGAUCGAGGCUUGCAAAUUACAAAGGAAAUGUAUGAUAAAAAUAGUUUUAUAUUAGCAUUUGACUUAACUGCUGACCAUUAUAAUUCAACCCAUUGCUCAAACUUAAUUUCUCAAGGAGCCAUUCGAAUUGAAGGACGAUUUUCGGAACCUCUUACUGAAGCAGUUACUUGUUUGGUAUACUGUGAAUAUGACUCAAUGAUUGAUAUUGAUAAACAUCGAAAUAUUCGGGUUCUAUUAUAAAA
Drosophila obscura is the source of this 1896-nucleotide RNA transcript. RefSeq lists it as uncharacterized. The transcript is spliced from 2 exons. The record is from RefSeq and is a predicted model, not a curated record. NCBI's taxonomy places the organism in Eukaryota, Metazoa, Arthropoda, Insecta, Diptera, Drosophilidae.